GAUGUGGAGGAUCAAAAUAUCACUCAAUUGCUGUAAACAGUGGACUUGCUGAUUGGUACUCAAGGUCCCAAGUUUAAAACCUAGUUGCUUCAUAUUUUCAGGUAAAUUUAUUUUCGAAACAGACAGUAUAUUAUCUUUCUCUUAAAAAAAUAUAUAUAGUGGUAGCAUAGAUAUUGAAAUCAAUCAACUGCAGUAAACAGUGGUGAUACAAAUAUUGAAAUGGAUAAACUAUAAUAACUUAACAGUGGUGGUACAGAUAUUGGAA
This 265-nucleotide long non-coding RNA is filed under the name Ananas comosus (pineapple). RNAcentral's name for it is "long non-coding RNA (ACOM_LNC018359)". The record is from RNAcentral. Lineage: Eukaryota; Viridiplantae; Streptophyta; Magnoliopsida; Poales; Bromeliaceae.